GAUGAAGAGCGUAGCGAAAUGCGAUAAGUAAUGUGAAUUGCAGAAUUCAGUGAAUCAUCGAAUCUUUGAACGCACAUUGCGCCCCCUGGUAUUCCGGGGGGCAUGCCUGUCCGAGCGUCAUUACAACCCUCAAGCUCAGCUUGGUGUUGGGCCCCGCCGCCCCGGCGGGCCCUAAAGUCAGUGGCGGUGCCGUCCGGCUCCGAGCGUAGUAAUUCUUCUCGCUCUGGAGGUCCGGUCGUGUGCUCGCCAGCAACCCCCAAUUUUUUUCAGGUUGACCUCGGAUCAGGGAGGGAUACCCGCUGAACUUAAGCAUAUCAAUAAGCGGAGGA
Molecule: unclassified non-coding RNA, 329 nt
Filed under: soil metagenome
Description: partial contains 5.8S ribosomal RNA, internal transcribed spacer 2, and large subunit ribosomal RNA
Rfam family: 5.8S ribosomal RNA (bases 1-120)
Source: RNAcentral